UCCUCUCUUUCAAAGUCUCUGUUUGUUUCGUGUAUGAAGUUGGAAUGCAGAUGGGAGAGCUGCUGGAUUGGCUUUUUAUAAUCUAAAGUUUUGGUUGUAUUAGGCUCACAUGCACAUGUGCACAUAUGUGGCGCACACACACAGCUCCCUCCAUGCGCACAUACACACACACUCGGCCAGCACACACACACAUCCUCACAUGCGUGGUGACAUG
Molecule: long non-coding RNA, 214 nt
Filed under: Actinidia chinensis (golden kiwifruit)
Lineage: Eukaryota; Viridiplantae; Streptophyta; Magnoliopsida; Ericales; Actinidiaceae
Description: long non-coding RNA (ACHI_LNC003540)
Source: RNAcentral